This 686-nucleotide long non-coding RNA is filed under the name Vulpes vulpes (red fox). Its description in RNAcentral is "lncRNA (ENSVVUG00000018538.1)". The record is from RNAcentral. Lineage: Eukaryota; Metazoa; Chordata; Mammalia; Carnivora; Canidae.
AAAAAAAUAGAAAAUUCACAAACUUCAUCUGAAAAAUGACUUCUUAUUCUUUCCUGUGAAAGAACCCCCCAACCAGUCACAUAUACUAGUUCCUGCCUCAGGGGAGUUUUCUUUUUUUUUUUCUUUUUUUUUUUAAUUAAUUUUUAUUGGUGUUCAAUUUACCAACAUACAGAAAAACACCCAGUGCUCAUCCCGUCAAGUGUCCACCUCAGUGCCCGUCACCCAUUCCCCUCCAACACCCGCCCUCCUCCCCNUCCCCCCAUUCCCACAUCUUCAUGGCCAAUUCUGCCUGUAACACACAAGCCAUGUGCAAGCUAUCUCUGAGCAAAUGGGACAUUUUUGAACCUUUGUCAAGCAACAUGCUGCAGAUAACAAAAUGUACAUGCUGGGACUGAUGAAAUUCUGCAAAGGAACAAUGCAAUGAAUGUCAACAUAGGAUACUACUGCUUCUAAUGAGUAGAGAAUUCCACAAGACUGGCUGCCAUCUUGUCCAUGUAGCUUUUUUGGCUUGGAAAAGUGUCUCCUAUAUAUGUAACUGCACUUCAAAAAGAAAUAUUUGAAAGUACAGAAAGACAUAAAAUUAAAAGUGAGUUUUCCUAUCAACUCCUCCUGCUGCUUUCUUCCAUAAAACUAAAUACUAACCUUUCUAUUAAUCUAUCAACAAUAAAUAUUUCUACUGGCUUCCA